GUGGAGGGAGCCGUCGAAGGCGGGAUCGGCGAUUGGGACGAAGUCGUAACAAGGUAGCCGUACCGGAAGGUGCGGCUGGAUCACCUCCUUUCU
Molecule: ribosomal RNA, 93 nt
Filed under: Klenkia taihuensis
Lineage: Bacteria; Bacillati; Actinomycetota; Actinomycetes; Geodermatophilales; Geodermatophilaceae
Description: partial 16S rRNA. Bacterial SSU
Rfam family: Bacterial small subunit ribosomal RNA
Source: RNAcentral